RNAcentral lists this ribosomal RNA (253 nucleotides) under uncultured bacterium. Its description in RNAcentral is "partial 16S ribosomal RNA". It matches the Rfam family "Bacterial small subunit ribosomal RNA", at positions 524 to 776 of the family's 1533-position model. The record is from RNAcentral.
UACAGAGGUCCCGAGCGUUGUUCGGAUUCACUGGGCGUAAAGGGUGCGUAGGUGGCAUGGCCAGUUUGAUGUGAAAGCUCAGGGCUUAACCCUGAAAUGGCAUUGAAUACUGCUGUGCUGGAGGUUUGGAGGGGGGACUGGAAUUCUUGGUGUAGCAGUGAAAUGCGUAGAUAUCAAGAGGAACACCAGUGGCGAAGGCGAGUCCCUGGACAACACCUGACACUGAGGCACGAAAGCUAGGGGAGCAAACAGG